This 352-nucleotide long non-coding RNA is filed under the name Chinchilla lanigera (long-tailed chinchilla). RNAcentral's name for it is "lncRNA (ENSCLAG00000024163.1)". The record is from RNAcentral. Lineage: Eukaryota; Metazoa; Chordata; Mammalia; Rodentia; Chinchillidae.
CAAGGCUCCUGCUCUGGAGUCUUACCUCGUCUGGGGGAUGAAGCUCUGUUGACAGGAGGCGCCUGGGUUUGAGGGAGGUUUCCGAAAGCCAGGAGGAGAACCUGGAAGUUGAGCAUAAUGCCAUAAAGGUUGCUCCAGUGGACCAGGCCUCUGGACUUCUUCUACCCGCUUCCUUCAUUCAUUACACCUUUACUGAGCACUGACUGCAUUCUAGACCUUGCGAGCUAGGGGUGAAUGGAGGCAGAAGAAAUCCCUGCUGUCAUAGAUUGGAUCUUCCAGUGGGAACCAGGUAAUGGAAUGAUGUGAUGAAAGUACAUUCCUAAUGCGUUACACCGUGCUAAGUUCUUUGGGG